RNAcentral lists this unclassified non-coding RNA (306 nucleotides) under plant metagenome. RNAcentral's name for it is "partial contains 5.8S ribosomal RNA, internal transcribed spacer 2, and large subunit ribosomal RNA". The stretch from base 1 to 105 matches the Rfam family "5.8S ribosomal RNA", at positions 50 to 154 of the family's 154-position model. The record is from RNAcentral.
GAAAUGCGAUAAGUAGUGUGAAUUGCAGAAUUCAGUGAAUCAUCGAAUCUUUGAACGCACAUUGCGCCCCUUGGUAUUCCAUGGGGCAUGCCUGUUCGAGCGUCAUUUGUACCUUCAAGCUUCGCUUGGUGUUGGGUGUUUGUCUCGCCUCUGCGCGCAGACUCGCCUCAAAACAAUUGGCAGCCGGCGUAUUGAUUUCGGAGCGCAGUACAUCUCGCGCUUUGCACUCAUAACGACGACGUCCAAAAAGUACAUUUUUUACGCGCUUGACCUCGGAUCAGGUAGGGAUACCCGCUGAACUUAAGC